This 254-nucleotide ribosomal RNA is filed under the name uncultured bacterium. Its description in RNAcentral is "partial 16S ribosomal RNA". It matches the Rfam family "Bacterial small subunit ribosomal RNA", at positions 524 to 776 of the family's 1533-position model. The record is from RNAcentral.
GACGUAGGGCGCGAGCGUUGUCCGGAAUUAUUGGGCGUAAAGAGCUCGUAGGCGGCUUGUUGCGUCGACUGUGAAAACCCGCGGCUCAACCGUGUGGCUUGCAGUCGAUACGGGCAGGCUAGAGUUCGGUAGGGGAGACUGGAAUUCCUGGUGUAGCGGUGAAAUGCGCAGAUAUCAGGAGGAACACCGGUGGCGAAGGCGGUUCUCUGGGCCUUACCUGACACUGAGGAGCGAAAGCGUGGGGAGCGAACAGG